AUUGAACGCUGGCGGCAGGCCUAACACAUGCAAGUCGAGCGGAUGAAGGGAGCUUGCUCCUGGAUUCAGCGGCGGACGGGUGAGUAAUGCCUAGGAAUCUGCCUGAUAGUGGGGGAUAACGUCCGGAAACGGGCGCUAAUACCGCAUACGUCCUGAGGGAGAAAGUGGGGGAUCUUCGGACCUCACGCUAUCAGAUGAGCCUAGGUCGGAUUAGCUAGUUGGUGGGGUAAAGGCCUACCAAGGCGACGAUCCGUAACUGGUCUGAGAGGAUGAUCAGUCACACUGGAACUGAGACACGGUCCAGACUCCUACGGGAGGCAGCAGUGGGGAAUAUUGGACAAUGGGUGAAAGCCUGAUCCAGCCAUGCCGCGUGUGUGAAGAAGGUCUUCGGAUUGUAAAGCACUUUAAGUUGGGAGGAAGGGCAGUAAGUUAAUACCUUGCUGUUUUGACGUUACCAACAGAAUAAGCACCGGCUAACUUCGUG
Molecule: ribosomal RNA, 484 nt
Filed under: uncultured bacterium
Lineage: Bacteria
Description: partial 16S ribosomal RNA
Rfam family: Bacterial small subunit ribosomal RNA
Source: RNAcentral